Non-coding RNA from Triticum aestivum (bread wheat), 134 nucleotides. The record is from Rfam. Lineage: Eukaryota; Viridiplantae; Streptophyta; Magnoliopsida; Poales; Poaceae.
GUUGUACUCCCUCCGUCUGAAAAUACUUGUCAUCGAAAUGGAUAGAAAAGGAUGUAUCUAAAACUAAAAUACAUCUAGAUACAUCCCCUUUUAUUCAUUUUGAUGACAAGUAUUUCCGGACGGAGGAAUACUUU